This 848-nucleotide long non-coding RNA is filed under the name Setaria italica (foxtail millet). RNAcentral's name for it is "long non-coding RNA (SITA_LNC005192)". The record is from RNAcentral. Lineage: Eukaryota; Viridiplantae; Streptophyta; Magnoliopsida; Poales; Poaceae.
CUGCAGAUGAUCAUGCAACUGCAAGUUGUGAUUACCCCCAAUUUUUCUUGCUGCUGCCUUUUUAUUCGUUGGUGAGUCCUAAUUUCUCAGUGAGAUUUUCAAUUUCUUCACCCUUGCAUAUUGAAAUCGAUUUGUUCCAGCAGAUCUGCUGCAUCCUCAAUACAAGCAAAGAGAUAUCUGCCAGUUUUCUUUCUAUAUUUUCCCAAUUGAAAUCACAAUCAUUUGGUUCCUGAUUCCAUCCACCUAGUAUAAUUGGGAAAAUUCCAUCAUGUAAUGUGGUUGAUUGUGAACCAGUGAAGUUAUUUUUUUUACCUGUUGUAUGGUAACUCAAUUCUCACUUUAUAAGUCCCAGGCCAUAUUUUGCUAGAAUAAAAAAUUUGAUAUGUCAAUUUUUCUUGCUAUUGUUACUGUAACUCUAUUAGCUUCGUAACUAGCACUAGCAUAUUGUAAUUUUGCUGAUAAAUGACCUACCGCUGUACUGGUGAAGGUUCAAUUCCAUUCUGUUUGUUCGUUAACAUAUGCAAAGCUAGUUCAUUCCUUCUAAUUUUAUCUCACUACAAAUGCAGGAAAAGGUACCUCGGUUCGGGAAGCUUUACAACCCACCGAACAUGAUCAGGAAGCUUCUGACAGACUAGGCACAAAAAGCUCGAUCUUGAAGUUUAUAGCAGAUGAUUUAUGUCAAAAACUUCUGUCCCAGUAUUUUGUUUGAAUUCUUGUAAAUAUGUUACGUUAUGGUAAAUUCGUCUCCUUACUAUAGUAAUUGGUUGCUUGAUGAAAAAAGUGGUAACUUCCCAUCCUAAUUAUUGUUUUGCGUCAUGCAAAUUCUUGUAAACAUUUCAUGUCCCCUC